UACAGAGGGUGCAAACGUUGCUCGGAAUCAUUGGGCGUAAAGGGUGCGUAGGCGGGGCUUUAAGUCAGGGGUGAAAUCCUGGAGCUCAACUCCAGAACUGCCUUUGAUACUGAAGAUCUUGAGUUCGGGAGAGGUGAGUGGAACUGCGAGUGUAGAGGUGAAAUUCGUAGAUAUUUGCAAGAACACCAGUGGCGAAGGCGGCUCACUGGCCCGAUACUGACGCUGAGGCACGAAAGCGUGGGGAGCAAACAGG
Molecule: ribosomal RNA, 253 nt
Filed under: uncultured bacterium
Lineage: Bacteria
Description: partial 16S ribosomal RNA
Rfam family: Bacterial small subunit ribosomal RNA
Source: RNAcentral